RNAcentral lists this ribosomal RNA (1393 nucleotides) under Schistosoma japonicum. RNAcentral's name for it is "SSU rRNA". It matches the Rfam family "Eukaryotic small subunit ribosomal RNA", at positions 508 to 1752 of the family's 1831-position model. The record is from RNAcentral. Lineage: Eukaryota; Metazoa; Platyhelminthes; Trematoda; Strigeidida; Schistosomatidae.
AUUCGAAUGAGUACAAUUUAAAUCCUUUAACGAGGACCAAUUGGAGGGCAAGUCUGGUGCCAGCAGCCGCGGUAACUCCAGCUCCAAAAGCGUAUAUUAAAGUUGCUGCAGUUAAAAAGCUCGUAGUUGGAUCUGGGUAGUGCGAUCGCAUGCUGUUGCUUGUUCACGGUCUUGGUUACGAUCAGGGCAGUGGUCAGCUCGGCGUAGUGGUUGUGCAACCUUUCAGCCGUGUCUGUGUUUUAUUAAACAGGUGUCGAUGGGUUAAUGAGUAUUGUAUCUUAUUGACCUGUUGGCAUGCUUUCGGAUGCCUUUAAACGGGUGUCGGGGGCGGACGGCAUCUUUACUUUGAACAAAUUUGAGUGCUCAAAGCAGGCCUAUGCGCCUGAAAAUUCUUGCAUGGAAUAAUGAAAUAGGACUUCGGUUCUAUUUUGUUGGUUUUCGGAUCCGAAGUAAUGGUUAAGAGGGACAGACGGGGGCAUUUGUAUGGCGGUGUUAGAGGUGAAAUUCUGGGAUCGCCGCCAGACAAACUACAGCGAAAGCAUUUGCCAAGAAUGUUUUCAUUGAUCAGGAGCGAAAGUCAGAGUUUCGAAGACGAUCAGAUACCGUCGUAGUUCUGACCAUAAACGAUGCCAACUGACGAUCCGCGUUGGUUCUAUAAUUGACAUCGCGGGCAGUCCCCGGGAAACCUUUAAGUCUUUGGGCUCCGGGGGGAGUAUGGUUGCAAAGCUGAAACUUAAAGGAAUUGACGGAAGGGCACCACCAGGAGUGGAGCCUGCGGUUUAAUUCGACUCAACACGGGAAAACUCACCCGGCCCGGACACUGUGAGGAUUGACAGAUUGAAAGCUCUUUCUUGAUUCGGUGGUUGGUGGUGCAUGGCCGUUCUUAGUUGGUGGAGCGAUUUGUCUGGUUAAUUCCGAUAACGAACGAGACUUUAACCUACUAAAUAGUAGACUGGUCCUCUGUGCUCGUUCAGGGCGCGGCUUCUACUGCUUCUUUAUGGAGUAGUGUGGUCGUGAUCCGACGGGUGCGGUGCCAGUUUUUACUUCUUAGAGGGACAAGCGGCACACUUAAGUCGCACGAAAUUGAGCAAUAACAGGUCUGUGAUGCCCUUAGAUGUCCGGGGCCACACGUGCGCUACAAUGACGGUGCCAGCGAGCCUGGAAACCUGGCCCGAAAGGGUUGGGCAAACUGUUUCAUCACCGUCGUGACUGGGAUCGGGGCUUGCAAUUAUUCCCCGUGAACGAGGAAUUCCUGGUAAGUGCAAGUCAUAAGCUUGCGCUGAUUACGUCCCUGCCCUUUGUACACACCGCCCGUCGCUACUACCGAUUGAAUAGUUUAGUGAGGUCGUUGGAUUGGUGUCGUUGUAGUGGCUUUAUCGCUGCUCGACUGAUA